GCGGAAUCUCUGUGGCGUGACAGCAGCUGCCGAUUCCAUUUAUAAGGACCCCUGUGAUGCCACUGGGCCCAUCCAUGGGAUGAUCUCCCAAUUUUAAGCAAUGCUACAAGGAAAUGCGUUGAUAUUGCUGGACCUUACAAAGAACAAGAAAACCACCCUGAUCCUAACCAAAGAUGGAAUUGUUCACUAAAAGGAAGGAGCAAAUUGGUAUAUUCCUGGUUUCCAAAAUGCCCUUUCAUGCCAGGGAAACAGCGUGAUCUUUGGAGGACUGUUAACAACCAGGACCAUGAGCAAGAAUGACUCUACGGCAACAACUAAGCACCUACUGGAGCUGAAAUCUCACACUAGACCCCGUCCAAUCCCAAUUUUGCUGUUUAUCAUGUGGCAUUGGUUAUGUUGUUACUUAUCCUGCCUUAAUUUCCUUAUCUGAAUACGGGGAUAAUAAAUCCUAACUUCACAUA
Non-coding RNA from Microcebus murinus (gray mouse lemur), 461 nucleotides. NCBI's taxonomy places the organism in Eukaryota, Metazoa, Chordata, Mammalia, Primates, Cheirogaleidae. The record is from RefSeq and is a predicted model, not a curated record.